CUGCGAAUGGCUCAUUAUAUCAGUUAUAGUUUAUUUGAUGAAAAGUACUACUUGGAUAACCGUAGUAAUUCUAGAGCUAAUACAUGAUAAAAUCCUCGACUUUGAAGAGGUGUAUUUAUUAGAAUGAAACCAAUAGACUUCGGUCUGUUUGUGAGUAAUAAUAACUAAUCGUAUCGCAUGCUUAGGUAGCGAUAUGUCUUUCAAGUUUCUGCCCUAUCAGCUUUGGAUGGUAGUGUAUUGGACUACCAUG
This 250-nucleotide ribosomal RNA is filed under the name Blastocystis sp. Its description in RNAcentral is "partial 18S ribosomal RNA". It matches the Rfam family "Eukaryotic small subunit ribosomal RNA", at positions 87 to 348 of the family's 1831-position model. The record is from RNAcentral. Lineage: Eukaryota; Bigyra; Opalinata; Blastocystidae.